GAUGAACGCUGGCGGCGUGCCUAAUACAUGCAAGUCGAGCGAACAGACGAGGAGCUUGCUCCUCUGACGUUAGCGGCGGACGGGUGAGUAACACGUGGAUAACCUACCUAUAAGACUGGGAUAACUUCGGGAAACCGGAGCUAAUACCGGAUAAUAUAUUGAACCGCAUGGUUCAAUAGUGAAAGACGGUUUUGCUGUCACUUAUAGAUGGAUCCGCGCCGCACUAGCUAGUUGGUAAGGUAACGGCUUACCAAGGCAACGAUGCGUAGCCGACCUGAGAGGGUGAUCGGCCACACUGGAACUGAGACACGGUCCAGACUCCUACGGGAGGCAGCAGUAGGGAAUCUUCCGCAAUGGGCGAAAGCCUGACGGAGCAACGCCGCGUGAGUGAUGAAGGUCUUCGGAUCGUAAAACUCUGUUAUUAGGGAAGAACAAAUGUGAAAGUAACUAUGCACGUCUUGACGGUACCUAAUCAGAAAGCCACGGCUAACUACGUG
RNAcentral lists this ribosomal RNA (497 nucleotides) under uncultured bacterium. RNAcentral describes it as "partial 16S ribosomal RNA". It matches the Rfam family "Bacterial small subunit ribosomal RNA", at positions 28 to 507 of the family's 1533-position model. The record is from RNAcentral.